Molecule: ribosomal RNA, 556 nt
Filed under: Pseudogymnoascus pannorum
Lineage: Eukaryota; Fungi; Ascomycota; Leotiomycetes; Thelebolales; Thelebolaceae
Description: partial 28S ribosomal RNA
Rfam family: Eukaryotic large subunit ribosomal RNA
Source: RNAcentral
AAAGAACCCACCAGGGAUUACCUCAGUAACGGCGAGUGAAGCGGUAACAGCUCAAAUUUGAAAUCUGGCCUCACGGUCCGAGUUGUAAUUUGUAGAGGAUGCUUCGAGCAUGGUCUGGCCUAAGUUCCUUGGAACAGGACGUCAUAGAGGGUGAGAAUCCCGUAUGCGGUCAGGUGCCUACGCUCAUGUGAAGCUCCUUCGACGAGUCGAGUUGUUUGGGAAUGCAGCUCAAAAUGGGUGGUAAAUUUCAUCUAAAGCUAAAUAUUGGCCAGAGACCGAUAGCGCACAAGUAGAGUGAUCGAAAGAUGAAAAGCACUUUGGAAAGAGAGUUAAACAGUACGUGAAAUUGUUGAAAGGGAAGCGCUUGCAACCAGACUUGCGCGCGGCCGAUCAUCCGGUGUUCUCACCGGUGCACUCGGCCGUGCUCAGGCCAGCAUCGGUUUCGGCGGUUGGAUAAAGGCCUCAGGAAUGUGGCUCCUCUCGGGGAGUGUUAUAGCCUGGGGUGCAAUGCAGCCUGCUGGGACCGAGGACCGCGCUUCGGCUAGGAUGCUGGCGU